Molecule: small nucleolar RNA, 105 nt
Filed under: Candida dubliniensis
Lineage: Eukaryota; Fungi; Ascomycota; Pichiomycetes; Serinales; Debaryomycetaceae
Description: Small nucleolar RNA snR54
Rfam family: Small nucleolar RNA snR54
About the family: snR54 is a member of the C/D class of snoRNA which contain the C (UGAUGA) and D (CUGA) box motifs.
Source: Rfam by way of RNAcentral
UACUCUGAUGAUUAUUCUUUAAAAUUUAUUAACUUUCGUUCUACCGAAUAAAAACUAUGUUUUUUUACAUCAAACGAUGUUGGGGAAAACUUUAUUAAUCUGAUU